This 97-nucleotide small RNA is filed under the name Pedobacter sp. AK013. RNAcentral describes it as "Flavo-1 RNA". It matches the Rfam family "Flavo-1 RNA". Lineage: Bacteria; Pseudomonadati; Bacteroidota; Sphingobacteriia; Sphingobacteriales; Sphingobacteriaceae. The record is from RNAcentral.
CUUUAAUCUUUAAACCGAUCAAAGCGACAUCCUUUUGGCUAUGGUGCCGAACGCAGUGAAGAACAGCCAAAUGAUAUAGCGCAGAGCGGGAACUCAC